CCCAACUAUCCCUAUUAAUCAUUACGUCAAUCCUAGAAACCAACAAAAUAGGAUCGUUACGUCCUAUUUUAUUAUUCCAUGCUAAUGUAUUCAAGCGUUAGCCUGCUUUAAACACUCUAAUUUUUUCAAAGUAACAAGUCCUGAUUCCCUGCAGCACCAAAUAAAUGGCAUUACAGUUCUUCAAGAAGGAGGAAUCAGUAAAGCCGGUACAUACCAGUGGUACGACCAACCUACUAACCCCGAAAUUCAACUACGAGCUUUUUAACUGCAACAACUUUAAUAUACGCUAUUGGAGCUGGAAUUACCGCGGCUGCUGGCACCAGACUUGCCCUCCAA
This 336-nucleotide unclassified non-coding RNA is filed under the name uncultured Glomeraceae. RNAcentral's name for it is "sequence contains 18S rRNA gene". Lineage: Eukaryota; Fungi; Glomeromycota; Glomeromycetes; Glomerales; Glomeraceae. The record is from RNAcentral.